Molecule: ribosomal RNA, 494 nt
Filed under: uncultured bacterium
Lineage: Bacteria
Description: partial 16S ribosomal RNA
Rfam family: Bacterial small subunit ribosomal RNA
Source: RNAcentral
GACGAACGCUGGCGGCGUGCUUAACACAUGCAAGUCGAACGGUGAAGCGCCUUCCUUUUUGGUGGGUGUGGAUGAGUGGCGAACGGGUGAGUAACACGUGAGUAACCUGCCCCCUUCUUCUGGAUAACCGCAUGAAAGUGUGGCUAAUACGGGAUAUUCUGGGUCUGUCGCAUGAUGGGUCUGGGAAAGAUAUUGUUUCGGUGGGGGAUGGGCUCGCGGGCUAUCAGCUUGUUGGUGGGGUGAUGGCCUACCAAGGCGGUGACGGGUAGCCGGCCUGAGAGGGUGGACGGUCACACUGGGACUGAGACACGGCCCAGACUCCUACGGGAGGCAGCAGUGGGGAAUAUUGCACAAUGGGCGCAAGCCUGAUGCAGCGACGCCGCGUGAGGGAUGGAGGCCUUCGGGUUGUGAACCUCUUUCGCCAGUGAAGCAGGCCUGCCUCGUUUGUGGGUGGGUUGACGGUAGCUGGAUAAGAAGCGCCGGCUAACUACGUG